This 368-nucleotide ribosomal RNA is filed under the name uncultured organism. RNAcentral describes it as "bacterial SSU rRNA". It matches the Rfam family "Bacterial small subunit ribosomal RNA", at positions 526 to 896 of the family's 1533-position model. The record is from RNAcentral.
CGAAGGAUGCAAGCGUUAUCCGGAUUCACUGGGUUUAAAGGGUGUGUAGGUGGGAUAAUAAGUCAGUGGUGAAAGCCCCCGACUCAAUCGGGGAACUGCCAUCGAUACUGUUAUUCUUGAGUGUAGUUGAGGCGGAUGGAAUAUGACAUGUAGCGGUGAAAUGCUUAGAUAUGUCAUAGAACACCGAUCGCGAAGGCAGUCCGCCAAACUAUUACUGACACUGAAACACGAAAGUGCGGGGAUCAAACAGGAUUAGAUACCCUGGUAGUCCGCACUGUAAACGAUGAUCACUCGUUGUUGGCGAUACACUGUCAGCGACUAAGCGAAAGCAUUAAGUGAUCCACCUGGGAAGUACGACCGCAAGGUUG